UAUAUAUAUUUAUAUCGUGUUAAUUGUGUUAUUGAUUAUGUAUCACUGUGUGUCAGAUUGAUUGAAUUGGAUUGAUGAUGUCAGCAGAACCUCACGUCCGUGCAGCUCCUGAACCUCUGCGGGUCGAUCCGGUUCGGACCACAGAACUGGUCUGCCCUGAUCUGGACCUGUCCAUCACUCUCACCCCUGAACGACCAGCAGGCCGACGCCAUCGACAGGCUCAGCCCUUAAAAUAUCAUUCAUGAAGGAGUAAACGUCCUAAUCUGUCUGCAGACGUGUGCGUCGUCACGAAAGUUUAUCAUGUCCCAGAUAGCACAGGUCAUGGGUUAGAUAAUAACCGCUAGCGUGUGACGGACAGCUGACGGAAGGGGCGGGGCUAAACAGCACCCUGACGCUGGGGGCGGAGCUUCAGGAAGUGGAGAAUCAGGUGUUUGAUCUUGAGAAAGCCGUGAGAGCGAAAUUACAGAGUUCAUGCUUCACAAAGCACCGCAUCAGCAGCAAAGCAGCAGAGGUUCCCGUCUCUGCCACUAGAGGCUCCUGAUCUGCUGCACUUCUACAGUCCUGACAAGAUGCUCAGAGAGACUCCGCUGUUGCCAGGCGACCGCAUCUCUAUGCCCCGCCCACGGCCUGUGCCUAGACCCGCCCACACAACCCUUCACCUACAUCAUCGGCACAAACUCUGGGAGUCAUGAACUGUGUGUGUGUGUGCGUGUGUGUGUGUGUGUGUGUGUGUGUGUGUGUGUGUGUGUGUGUGUGUGUGUGUGUGUGUGUGUGUGGAAGAGAGAAUGUCUGCUUUGAUUGGGUGAUGACUGUGUGUCAUUCAUAUUGUAAGCUUUACUGUAUAUUAUUGAUGUAUUGUUUUUAGCUAAACGUGAAUUAAUAUAAUAGCAAUAAAUAUGUGGCACUGAGUGAAUGUACAAACACACUCUUGCUGGAGGAAAUCUUCUGCACAGUAGCUCAGCGUUCACCGGGGAUACUCAUUAAAACAAUCAAUCCACAAAUGAAUUAGCGUGAUCAACAAGAGCACUGAUUUCUCUGCUCGGAUGUGUGUUAAACGUCUAAAAGUGUGAAUCUCAGCAACAAAUCUGGCGUAAUUCACACUAAAAUCAAAGGAAAAGAAAUUAUAUUAUACAUGAAGAAAUUUGAGGAUCAUUAUAAUUUUUUGCAUUGUGACUAUUUUCAUAAUCUCAUUAGCAGCUCAAAUUCAGUUCUGUAAUUCUCUUUACUUGAAGCAUGUUUUAUACAAUUAUUUUUAAAGCAUUAAUUACACCUUUUAAUAAUGCAACUUAUAAUGCAUUGUAUGAUCACAUGAAAAAUUAUAAUACUUAUCUUUACUAUUUUAGAAAGUAUAAUUAAUUAAAACACGACAGACAACCGAUUAGAGAUGAAAUAGCAAGGAA
Molecule: long non-coding RNA, 1400 nt
Organism: Cyprinus carpio (common carp)
Lineage: Eukaryota; Metazoa; Chordata; Actinopteri; Cypriniformes; Cyprinidae
Exons: 3
Source: RefSeq, a predicted model, not a curated record